CCUACGGGAGGCAGCAGUGGGGAUUAUGCACCAAUGGGGGAAACCCUGGUCCAGCAACGCCCCGGGAGGAAAGAGGGCCUUCGGGUGCAAAACCUCUUUCUUAAGGGAGGAGGCUUGCCGGUACCUUAGGUGGAAGCCCCGGCUACUUCCGUGCCAGCGGCCGCGGUAAUACGUAGGGGGCGGGCGUUACCCGGAAUACCUGGGGGGAAAGGGUGCGAAGGCGGCCGAUUAGGCCAGGGGUGAAAGGCAACGGCUCAACCGUAGUAAGCCCUUGGAACUGAUUGGCUUGAGUGCAGGAGAGGAGAGUGGAAUUCCUAGUGUAGCGGUGAAAUGCGUAGAUAUUAGGAGGAACACCAGUGGCGAAGGCGACUCUCUGGACUGUAACUGACGCUGAGGCACGAAAGCGUGGGGAGCAAACAGGAUUAGAUACCCGUGUAGUC
RNAcentral lists this ribosomal RNA (440 nucleotides) under uncultured bacterium. RNAcentral's name for it is "bacterial SSU rRNA". It matches the Rfam family "Bacterial small subunit ribosomal RNA", at positions 338 to 795 of the family's 1533-position model. The record is from RNAcentral.